This is a long non-coding RNA of Pseudopipra pipra, 7975 nucleotides long. RefSeq lists it as uncharacterized. The transcript has 2 exons. The record is from RefSeq and is a predicted model, not a curated record. Lineage: Eukaryota; Metazoa; Chordata; Aves; Passeriformes; Pipridae.
GAUUCAAACAAUUUUUUUCCCAUGCAGGAAAGAUAGAAAAAAAAUACAGCAUUUUAAAAUAUCCCCCCCAAAGAAAACAAAACCAGUGCAAUAAGCAGUUAUAACUCUGAGAGGAAAACUGUCAGGAACUCUCUGAAACCAGCUAACAGCUACUCCAGGCUGUCCUUUCCACUGCAACUUUACACAGAAAAUGCUCAGAAAGCAUGGAUGGGAUGCAGAAGGCAGAAAGAAAAGACACCAGACUGAUGAAAUAAGUGGUAAGAGCUGAAACUUCACUGUUUCGGGUAAACUAAUUUGCAAAUUUUGUCAGGAGGUAUUUGCAGAAACCAAUCAGUAGUGGCAACUGGCUUUUAAUGUUAAAAGACAAGGAAGACACGGAUUAUAGGAUUUGAGGCAUAUAAAUCUGAGUGCAAGUUCAGAAUACCUGAUGCAGCAGAAAGAGGGAGAGUUUCUGAGCAACUGGAAGGCACAACUGUAAAGAUGUUGCAAUAAUCAAAUAAGGCAAAAGAAUUAGAAAGGUGAAAUAAUUUAACCUAAAAUAACAUUUUUUAAAUAACCCAAGACUGUAAAGCAUAACAUAAAUGUCAUCAUUCUAUGAAUAUAAACCUUCCUUUUACAAUGUUUCUUAUAUGCAUGUUCCUAUGGAAAGAAAAUUCAUCAGAUCACUAGCUAUUCACAUAGUGACCUGCAGUCUGUGGUUUCAGCAUCACCCUGCUUUCAAUUUGAAUGACUUCAGGACGAUUUUGGAGUGGCAAUAGUUAUUUCCCCAGGAUAGUUUACAGGUACCAAAGGAAAAUCUGAUUCCCUAUAAAAUCCAACUUCAAAUGUCCCAUUUUAAAUUAAAGGACUGACUUUUACUAUGCAGCACUAAAAAGAAAUAAAAUGUGGUUUAAGGCCACAAAAUAUGUUUACUAAGGUAACACAGCAGAGCACACCACUGUGCAGUAUGGUCUUGAACUGCUGAUGCAACUGCUGCUCCACAACCAUCUGACUGUGAGGGAAGAAAUAUGCUAUGGCCUUGAUGAGGCAGCCAAGGUAGUAAUUUCAUUUCUGACUGCUAAGCAGUAUACAAAAAAGCUACAAUAUAUAAAAAAAGAGCAUCCUAUUCUGUAUUUUCAUCCUCUAUUAGAAGGUGAAGGUUUUUUAAUGUUGCUUAGCAUUCAAAGAUUUUCACAAUGUGGGUUGUGGACUGUGAAAAUGGAACUGGAAGAUACCUUUGGGAUUUCCAGCUACAGCCCCAUAAUUGUUAGACAUGUCCUAAAAGUUGGAAAAAGCAGGACCUGCUGAGCUGGCACAUUGCUCCUGCCAUCCACAGAGAAGUGUUAGCAUAAGCUCUGAAAGAAGCCAUUAAGUGGCCUCCUCUGGUAGAGGAGAGCUGCCAAGGGAUAUAUAUUUUUGGGUCUUGAUAGUGACCAUGAUGUGCCACUUACGGAUGAAAUACAGAGCAGUCCUCAAUUCAUGUAUUUGCUGGAAAUGAUGGCUCUAUACCUUACCUGUUUGAUUCAGUGCUCUUGUGUAGAAGGUGGAGUGAUCCAAGGUUGGCUGGCAGCAUGACGUAGCCAGGUCCUGCAAGUAAGGCUGGGAAUUAGCUGAAGAGCAGGAGACAAAGCUUUCACAGGCUCACAGUACGUGUUCAAGUCUGUGUUACCAUUCUGGUGUCUUCACCUACCUCAACAGUUGUCCACCUCCUAUGUAAGAGGCUGCUGACAGGAAGGACUGCAGAUUUCCAAGGACAUCUGCAAAAUGAGAGCAAUUGAAUGGUGAAGAGAUAGAUAUGGCAGCCUAAAGUUUCUAGUCUCAGCCAUUGCGACAGCUCUUGUAGAAAAGGCUUAAAAGUUUAAUCUCACUAAAAAAAAAGGACAGCAGUGCUUAUUUCUUAAGAGUGUUUUACCAAAUGCAAGUCUGGACAGGGAUGGAAAAUGAAGACUAAGUAUUGCAUUAAUAAUGAUUAAGCCUGAUGCCAAUCCUGCUUAUAUUUCACAAUCAGCAUAGCUUCUGAGUUGAAACUCUGUGGCUUCCUGGCUUUCAAACAUCUGUUUUUCUUAAAUCUUACUUUCAUUAUGUCCUCCAUUAUAGAGCCUAGACUUAAUGUAUCCUUUAUUUCUGUAUCCUUUAUUUCUCUAUUCAUUUAUCAAAACUUUUAGAGAUUUUAGUUAUAUUCUAUGGGGAAAAAUAUCAUUAGGGUCCAAGGGAGGUCUUCAGUCAGUGGUUGAAUCUGAAGUUAUCUGGCAGCAUUAAGUAAGCAGCUUUUGGUAUGAGGUUGAGUCUGAAGCAGAAACAGAAUUAGACAUUGACAUCAAACUUUCCAUAAAAGAGAAAUCUCAGUAGGGGAAAGAACUUAGCCCUUUAAGAUGGAAAGUUUUAAUAGGAAUGACACAAAUAGAUAUUCAAUGAAUCGCUCGCAUUGUAGGAGGGCAGGUGAAUGACAGACAAGAAGUGUUGAGGUAUUGUUUUCGCUCCUGCCUCACUUGGCAAGGCCUUUUUCACUAUGGAGCUGCUUCUCUCCUUGCAAAUACAACUUCUUCAUCAUAGAUUAGUCAUAAGGGAGAAGUGAAAUUCAAGUAGAGCUUGCCAGCACACCUGAAAUAGCAAUGAAAUGUAGGCAUCAAAAACACAGUAAAUAUCAACUGAGCCUUUUCAUUAUGAUGUAGGGACACUUCAAGAAUCUCUGGGUAAAAUAAUUAGUUCAGUUUGUCCACAUGUAAUAACUGCGUCAUGCAAUUCAUCAGUAUUUUAAUCAGGGAUCUUCAGUUGUAUGGGAGUUGGUGUAUGCACCUUUUAAAGCAGAAACAGUCUGAGCCCAAAAGGCUGUCUCUGGGACUGAGCCCUCCUGCAGAGAGCAGAUGGAAAUUGGUCAAAAACUUUUCACCUCUAGCUUAGUGAUGGAGGGAGGGUGUUUAUUGACUAACUAUGCUCAUUGUUAUGAAAACAGAGAUGGAAGGACUAUUUGCACCACAGCUUGGAACUCCACAAAUGAAAGCUCUUCCAGGCACUGAUCAACCCACAUUUUAAGAGGGUGAUGAAGGGUGCCUUUCAGCCUUGCCAUCCAACUCUAAACAGUCCUUCUGCCAGGCAGCCAAAUGGACACCAAUUUUCUUACACAUGUAAAACUGAAAUCAAGUUCAGGCAGAUAUAGGCACAGUGCCACCCCAGACCCUAAAUGUCCAGUCCCACUAUGGAUCACCCUUUCUUCCCAAUAUCAUCAGACCUUGAACUGCCAACAGAAAAAGAUAACCAGGUCAUAUGCUAUUUUGCCAAAAGGGUCAGCAUAUGACAGAAUCUUAUUUUGCUACCAAAAUUCAGUGAGGAAUUACAGCAAAAAAUUUCUAUCUAACUCUCCUUUCACAGAGUCAUAUGGCAAACAGAUAUUUAUGCCUGGUGGGCUAAGGGGACUACACUGUGUUUCUCAUUGGGCUGUUGUAGUGGGCAGUUGGUUCCCACCAGCCUGGGAAUUCUUGUUUUACCCAAUGGCUGGUAAAUUACUCAAGUGAGACCUGUUGUUGGUGUUUAUCACCAAAUACCUUGAAAAACAAGAAAAACUCAUUUGUUUGCUCUUUAUUAGGCAUUCUGGUAUGUCCUUUCAUUAGUUCUUGAAGACUGGAAAUACAGGAGAAAAUUGGUGAAGGAAGAACAAGAGAAAAAGCCUCUAUUGACUGCUUCCCUGUAGGCUUGUUAGAGGAGCAACACAUUAGAGGUGAUACCUGUCUUAAAAUCAAAUAUUUCCAUUGUGCAGCAGAUGUACGAGGUUUUAUCGUUCUUUCUGCUGCACCAAGCUGGAUUCGGAGAAAUAUACUCUGUGAGAGUGUGCAUCAAACGAACUUAGCUGGGAGAUGCCCAACUUCCCAGACAGGGUAAAGGUCUGGGAACAGAGCAGAGCAGCACAGCUCUGGUGUACACUGUCCAACAGCCUGUGGAGACCCUGAGUGGGGUAUCUAAAUCCCAGAUGUAGUUCAGGUAGUUGGUUAUUCUUUUGUGAAACACAGUAAGAAGGAUCCACUGCAGAAGGUUACAGAACAAACCUGGAUGAAGAUACAACUCAUAAAUACUCUGGAUUUCUGGUCUGCUUUUAAUUAUUUUAUCUAGCUUUCUCUCUUCUUUGCAUGGAAACUGUUCAUAAUAUUUAUGAAAUACCUUGUUCCCUGAAAAAUUGGUUUAAUUAGAACCAGUCCAAUUUCCAAAUCUGAGUUGAGUAUGUUUGGCCAAAAUGAUGGAUAAAGUCCAAAGAGUAGAAAAAAGAAAAUAUUCUUCCCAUCCAUUAAGUCUUCCAUCUGGAUUUGGGAAGCAUGUUUCAAAUCCCUCCUAUUGUCUCCUCCAGAUCAGACUGCAUGUAGGAUGAUCUAAAGGAAGUUCAUUUCAGUAUGAACUGGUCAAGAUGCUUCCUCUAAAAUGGGACUGUUUUGGCGGAAGAGAGGCUCCAUAGCACACUGGUUACUGGCAUGACAAAGAUCCACUUUGUAUUUCUGUCUCUAAUCAGGAACAAUAAAGAUGAACUCAUCUCACAUGUUAUCAGUGUGUCCUGGUCUUAUGUGUAUCACCCAUAAGGUCACCUUCUGAAGCUUCUUUGAAACUAUUUCCUAAAUUUCUGCUGUUCCCAAACUGUCAGUUGUUUUGGGGUUUGAUUUCCAUCCCCCCCAACACUUCUAGCUUAGAAGCCAUCAGCCCCACAAGCUGACUUUGCCACAUGGGGGCUCAUAUAUAUUGUUUCUCUGAUGAAUAAGAACCAUCUACUGCAGUACAGUGUGAAAGUACAGCUUUCAGGUCCUGGAUUAAUGCUGACUUUUAUAUCAGUGUUUUUUCUCUCUCCUUAGGAUCUACAGCUUUUAUCUUCUGGCCAGCUCAGGAAAAAAAAAUCAUAUUUUCCUGUCUUAUCUGUUACUUUACUUUCCAUUAAAGCGUUGGAGCAAGUCACUGCCUGUAAAUAUUGGUAUAUACUGUAUGUGUUUUUUUAGGGGCAUUCACAGCAUAACACUCAAAGUAGCUUUGCUGACAAAACAUAAAUCAAUAAUAACCUCUAACUUUUCCCAGUUUUAAUUUUUCAGAUUCUACUUAAUCCUCUGUUCUGCUGCACCCUAUUUCUGCAACAUCUACAGAUCCCUAAGUAUUUAUUCUUCCUCUGGCAGUCCUUCUACCCUCUGGCACCAAGUGCAAAGGUAGCGGGGAUGCUGUGAAACACCCUGUUAGACUUACUGAUGUGACAGUGUGAGCUCACUGUGACACUGAAUGCAGGCAUGGGAAAGAGCACAGUCUCCAUGCUGACUAGAGGCACAAAGCCGCGUCUGUAAGCCUUCUGGCAUUUGUCCUGAUAUCAAGCCAGCAGGCACUUCCACGUAGCCCCCCAGGGAGGAUACACCAGGGUGAAUUCUGAGGAAUGCUCUAAGCAGGAGCAACCCUUCAGCUACCAGCACAGGACUUGCCUCCCUGGGCAUCCUGUUCCAAAUUUACCACAAAUUACGACAAAAAUCAGCAUUAGAAAAUACGCUUAUGAUUAAAAUGGGGAAUAUGUAUCUCCCAAGUUAUUAAAAAUUACUCUCAGCAAUUAUUAGUAUGUCAGCAAUCAAUAAUAGCAACAAUUAAUAGUAAAGAAUCUAUCAAUAGUAUAGCAACAAUCAACUAGAGUGACCAUCAGUAUUAUAGCAACAACUAAGUAGGUAUGUAUUAUCAGAGGUUGCUGCAAAGUUAUCAUUAGUGAAGUAACGUAUCAACAGUGUAACAGCAGUUAUUCUUAUUGUUGAUUACUUGUAUGAACCUAUAAGUAUUGAGUAAAUUAGAUCUCAGAAGGGGACAAACCAUCCAGAAGUGGGAGGACAAACUAAAUGGACCCCAGAAGGGGGCCCAUAGGGGACCAACAAUGUAACAGAGAGAGUCUGACUUCAGAGAUGGAAACAGGGGUCAGCCAGGCAUCCCAGUAACAGUCCAAGAUUUCAUACAAAUUUCAUGUGGAGAAUUAAACAUGUUUAUGAAAUGAAAAGUAUGUGCAACACAGGAAGUCGUCAGAGAGAGAACAGUUGGAUUUUGGAUAAAAUAUAAGUCAUUUUUAUAUCAUAGAGACAUCAGAGUACAUAGGACAUCACCACUUUGAGCAGCCAAUGGAUGUUAAUUUCUGGUUUUCACCUGCAGCAGCCAAUAGAUUAUAAUGUUUUCUGUUCCUUUAGACCAAUUUUUAUGUUCACAGACUGUUAUCCUCUCCUUGAAGAUAGAAGAGCCUAUGGCAUCUACCAGUUCAUACUUUCUCAGGAUGUUUUCCCCUUUUUUCCAGACUAUUUUUUUACCUUUUUGGAUAAAAAAUUGCUAUUUCAGUUCCUUGAUUUUGCAGUUAUCAAUGGCAUCUCUGGAUGUUUCCAAUUUCUAGGUAUUCAGCUGUACUUCAAAGAUGCCAGCUGAGCACUUCUUGAGGAGGUUUCUGGUUCACAGGCCUGGUUCCCAGGCUGGCAAGCAUUUCUUCUGAGAGCAUUUUUCCAGCAGAUGUUUUCUUCUGCUAAGUACUUGUCUCCUUCUAACCAGACCACCUUUAUGGCUGCUCCCAUCACCUCACAAAUCAGUUCUGUGGCCAUCAUGUUAAGUCUGCAAGCUGCUAGACUUCUCCAAGGAAGGAAAAAUAGUUACUUUGGCAAUUGGCUUGCCUAUAGCUGUGAAAGGGUGUUCCUUCAAUUUGAUUUUACUGUAAGCCGUAAAAAAAAAAAAUUAAGCAGGAGCUAGCUUGGAGCAGAGAAAAAUACUGUGAGGAUUUCUGGGAGGAUCUGAAUGCUAAAUGCUGUCUGUGCACAAGUUGCAAAAACAGAUGACCUGAGAUUUGUUUUUUGGUUGGGGUUUUUCCUCCAUCAGAAUGUAAAUUCUGAAAAAUUUUUGCUUUAUAUUCCAGCCAAAGAGCUGCAUGGGAAGAAAAUUACAGAAAAUAUUUUUUGCCUACAUUUAUGAGUUAUCUCUUUUCAAAAAGAAUCUGUUCUUUUCUUAAAUAUGACUUUUUGUGAAAAUGGAAAAAAAAAAACCCAAACAACUCAAAACCUAAAAGCAGAAACCCCAGGCUAACCUCUUUAGCGUGAUAUGAAAAUGGAAAGUAACACUCCUGGCUCAGGUAUGUUUCUGUCUUCUAAAGGGAAGGAGAUGGGAUUGUGUCACUCUUCAUUUUACCAUUGCAGAAGAUUUAGACACAAACAGAAAUGGUGUAAAUUUUAAAGACAUCUUGAUCUUGCUUCUACCUGAAAAUUACCAAAAGGUAGGAUAUGGAAAGUUAAAAAAAUAUCACUAUCUUAAAAAAUGCUACAUUUCAUUUCCACUAGGCAGAUUGUCAGAUGACAAAUGAACAACAUUUGAUGACAAAUCAACAACAUGGAGGUAAGAAGGCCAAGGCUGUGCAGUGGUCAGCUAAUUCCCUCCCAUGCUGUGUCAAACAUCUGAGAAAAAAUACUGCAGCAUGAAGAAAUAGUAAAUCUACUUCUGCUUCUCAUUCUGAAAAUAUUCUCAGUGCUUCAGUUCUGAUGGUUGUCAGCUGGAUGAUGCUACUGGAUAACUGAAUUUAGAGCUUUCGAAAAAAAUAAAAUCUAUUUAGGGACAGUAGGAUUCCUGUUCAGAAAGCAAACAAACCAACAGUUACAUAAACAGCAGGAUGCCUUGUAAGAGACCUUCCAGUGAUGACCCUCUGGACCGAGGUGAGGCUGAGAGCAGGUCUGUGUGCAUGGGGUAAUAGACAUUAGGCCAAGAAUGAAGCAGCACUUUGUCCUGCAGAACUGGUUCAUGUCUGGCACCAUGUCUUCCAGUUCACUUUCUGAAACACCUCACACUUGCUGGGUGUGAUGCCAGUCAGACUUCCAUGCCUGGAAGUGUUCAAAAAACAAGUAGAGAUGGCACUUUGCGAAAUGGUUUAGUUGACAUGGUGGUAUUUGGUUAAAGGUUGGAUUUGAUCUUGUAUGUCUUUUCCAGCCUUAAUGAUUCUGUGAUUCUCUGAUCUGUAAUAAAGCAGAGAAAUUUAAAGGGUAAA